UACAUGGUUGAUCUUGCCAGUAGUCAUAUGCUUCUCUCAAAGAUUAAGCCAUGCAUGUCUAAGUAUGAACUAAUUCAGACAGUGAAAUUACGUAUGGCUCAUUAAAUAAGUUAUAGUUUCUUUGAUGGUACCCUACUACUCAAAUAACCGUAGUAAUUAUAGAUCUAAUACGUGCACCAAGUCCCAACUCUUUGGAAGGGAUGCAUUUAUUAGAUAAUAGGCCAACGCGGGUUUGCUUGCUUCUCCGGUGAAUCAUGAUAACUCGACGGAUCGCACAACCCUUGUGUUGGCGAUGCUUCAUUCAAAUUUUUUCCCUAUCAAAUUUCGAUGGUAGGAUAAAGGCCUACCAUGGUGGUGACGGGUGACAGAUAAUUAGGGUUUGAUUCCGGAGAGGGAGCCUGAGAAACGACUACCACAUACAAGGAAGGCAAUAGGUGCACAAAUUACCCAAUCCUGACAUGGGGAGGUAGUGACAAUAAAUAACAAUAUUGCGCUCAUCGAGUCUGGUAAUUGGAAUGAGUACAAUCAAAAUUACUUAACGAGGAUCCAUUGAAGGGCAAGUCUGGUGGCAGUAGUCGCGGUAAUUCCAGCUGCAAUAGCGUAUAUUUAAGUUGUUGCAGUUAAAAAGAUCGUAGUUGGAUCUUGGGUCAUAAAGGUCGGUCCGCCUACUUGGUGUGCACCUGCCCUUCCGUCCCUUUUGCCGGCGACGUGCUCCUGGCCUUAAUUGGCUAGGUAGAUGGGAUCCACGAUGCUCAUCUAGGAUCGAUAAGAACCAAUUUUGGAUCCCGAGGGGCACCCAACCUUUGCUAGGUUGGAGGAUUUCGUCGUUUCCCUUUUCUUCUCUCUAAUUCGGUUGUUUCGAGGCUUCAUGAGGGCAUAUCCUUUCUAUCCUUGUCUUGUUUCUGCACGUCCUCCUAUUGCUCGAUCCCUUGAGGGCAAGGUAUAAAAUCUAACACGGUUUUUUUUUUGUUGAAAUCUCCCCGACUCGAUGGGUGUUCAGAGUGUGCUCUGUAUGGAGAGUCUUUGGAUGCCUUUUGAAGUGCUAUGGUGUUACCUGGUUUAUCCUGCUAGUAGUCAUAUGCUUGUCUCAAAGAUUAAGCCAUGCAUGUCUAAGUAUGAACUAAUUCAGACUGUGAAACUGCGGAUGGCUCAUUAAAUAAGUUAUAGUUUCUUUGAUGGUACCCUACUACUCGGAUAACCGUAGUAAUUCCAAAGCUAAUACGUGCACCAAGUCCCAACUCUUUGGAAGGAAUGCAUUUAUUAGAUAAUAGGCCAGUGCGAGCUUGCCCACUUCUCCGGUGAAUCUUGAUAACUCGACGGAUCGCACAGCCCUUGUGCUGGCGAUGCUUCAUUCAAAUUUCUGCCCUAUCAACUUUCGAUGGUAGGAUAGAGGCUUACCAUGGUGGUGACGGGU
Picea glauca (white spruce) is the source of this 1414-nucleotide non-coding RNA. The record is from Rfam. NCBI's taxonomy places the organism in Eukaryota, Viridiplantae, Streptophyta, Pinopsida, Pinales, Pinaceae.